GAGUAACACGUGAGUAACCUGCCCCCUUCUCUUGGGAUAACGUCCAGAAAUGGGUGCUAAUACCGGAUAUUUACGCUUCAUCGCAUGGUGGGGUGUGGAAAGGUUUUUCUGGUGGGGGAUGGGCUCGCGGCCUAUCAGCUUGUUGGUGGGGUGAUGGCCUACCAAGGCUUUGACGGGUAGCCGGCCUGAGAGGGUGACCGGCCACACUGGGACUGAGAUACGGCCCAGACUCCUACGGGAGGCAGCAGUGGGGAAUAUUGCACAAUGGGCGCAAGCCUGAUGCAGCGACGCCGCGUGAGGGAUGACGGCCUUCGGGUUGUAAACCUCUUUCAGUAGGGACGCAGGCCUCAGUUUUUGUUGGGGUUGACUUUACUUACAGAAGAAGCGCCGGCUAACUACGUGCCAGCAGCCGCGGUAAUACGUAGGGCGCAAGCGUUGUCCGGAAUUAUUGGGCGUAAAGAGCUCGUAGGCGGUUUGUCGCGU
RNAcentral lists this ribosomal RNA (483 nucleotides) under Buchananella hordeovulneris. Its description in RNAcentral is "bacterial SSU rRNA". It matches the Rfam family "Bacterial small subunit ribosomal RNA", at positions 108 to 588 of the family's 1533-position model. Lineage: Bacteria; Bacillati; Actinomycetota; Actinomycetes; Actinomycetales; Actinomycetaceae. The record is from RNAcentral.